GGAGCGGUAGCUCAGAUGGAAGAGCGCCCGGUUGAAGCCCGGGAGACACGGAUUCGAGCGCCGUCCGCUCCA
RNAcentral lists this transfer RNA (72 nucleotides) under Planctomycetota bacterium. RNAcentral describes it as "Planctomycetes bacterium (marine metagenome) tRNA-Phe". It matches the Rfam family "tRNA". From Rfam's summary of the family: Transfer RNA (tRNA) molecules are approximately 80 nucleotides in length. Lineage: Bacteria; Pseudomonadati; Planctomycetota. The record is from RNAcentral.